RNAcentral lists this ribosomal RNA (376 nucleotides) under uncultured bacterium. RNAcentral's name for it is "partial 16S ribosomal RNA". It matches the Rfam family "Bacterial small subunit ribosomal RNA", at positions 338 to 731 of the family's 1533-position model. The record is from RNAcentral.
CCUACGUGAGACAGCAGUGGGGGAUCUUGCACAAUGGGGGAAACCCUGAUGCAGCGACGCCGCGUGCGUGAAGAAGCGCCUCGGCGCGUAAAGCCCUGUCAGCAGGGAAGAAAAUGACGGUACCUGAAGAAGAAGCCCCGUCUAACUACGUCCCCGCAGCCGCGGUAAUACGUAGGGGGCAAGCUUUAGCCGGAUUGACUGGGUGUAAAGUGGUCGCUGACGGCUAUGCAAGCCAGGAGGGAAAGCCCGGGGCCCACCCCCGGGACUGCUCUUGAAACUGCGUGGCUAGAGUGCAGGAGGGGCAGGCGGAAUUUCUGGUGUAGCGGUGAAAUGCGUAGAUAUCAGGAGGAACACCGGUGGCGAAGGCGGCCUGCUG